RNAcentral lists this ribosomal RNA (215 nucleotides) under uncultured bacterium. RNAcentral describes it as "partial 16S ribosomal RNA". It matches the Rfam family "Bacterial small subunit ribosomal RNA", at positions 524 to 738 of the family's 1533-position model. The record is from RNAcentral.
UACGAAGGGGGCUAGCGUUGCUCGGAAUCACUGGGCGUAAAGCGCACGUAGGCGGAUUGCUAAGUCAGGGGUGAAAUCCUGGAGCUCAACUCCAGAACUGCCUUUGAUACUGGCGAUCUUGAGUCCGGGAGAGGUGAGUGGAACUGCGAGUGUAGAGGUGAAAUUCGUAGAUAUUCGCAAGAACACCAGUGGCGAAGGCGGCUCACUGGCCCGAU